GACGAACGCUGGCGGCGUGCUUAACACAUGCAAGUCGAACGGUGACGAGGAGCUUGCUCCUCCGAUCAGUGGCGAACGGGUGAGUAACACGUGAGUAACCUGCCCCAGACUCUGGGAUAACAGUUGGAAACAGCUGCUAAUACCGGAUACGAGACGGAGAGGCGUCUCUACCGUCUGGAAAGUUUUUCGGUCUGGGAUGGACUCGCGGCCUAUCAGCUUGUUGGUGAGGUAAUGGCUCACCAAGGCGACGACGGGUAGCCGGCCUGAGAGGGCGACCGGCCACACUGGGACUGAGACACGGCCCAGACUCCUACGGGAGGCAGCAGUGGGGAAUAUUGCACAAUGGGCGAAAGCCUGAUGCAGCGACGCCGCGUGAGGGAUGACGGCCUCGGGUUGUAACCGUAC
This 405-nucleotide ribosomal RNA is filed under the name uncultured bacterium. RNAcentral's name for it is "bacterial SSU rRNA". It matches the Rfam family "Bacterial small subunit ribosomal RNA", at positions 28 to 435 of the family's 1533-position model. The record is from RNAcentral.